AGUAGCCUUCUCUUGGGGGCUUGAAUUAUUCAUGAGCAUCCAUGUGUUUUGUGUUUCUUGCUUAAUACUGCGGACGAUGCGGGCAGGAGGAGAAUGUAGCCAGCUGCAAACAGAGAUUCCUUCUUGAACAGGGUUAGCAGUUAGAGGAGGCUGGGAGUGGACAACGGUGAGGACUGGAUCUAAUUUUACAGGAAUUUGAAUCGAUAAACCUUCAAACUAAAGAACUGGCCAACAGCUGAGGAGACCCACGUUUUGUGUUAUCUACAGUUCAUUUUUGACCAGCUGUGUCCUCCUUAAACAAAGGACAAGGAUUCAGAGCAGUCACGAGGCGGGGAGAUUCAGAUGUGUGGCCAUUUUCAUGCUUCCCUGAGACUCACCCUUACACUCAUUUGUCCCGCUUGAAUUCAACGGCCCGAUGUGGCUAUUUUCGCUUUCCAGUGGACACGGCUAAGGUGCCUAGCCAUUUAUGUCGGGCUUCUACCAAAUAUUUCAGUUAAAGUCUUGUUCUGUUGAAGCCUGGCACAGAGUGGCAGUCACCGGAACACUCUUCUUCUAGAGACUUGGCCCCUUAGAAAGUUUUGGGCCACCUGAGCAAAUGGAAGCCAAUGCCAAAGCAAGAACUGGUUGAGAACAAUAAAAUCCCCAUUCAGUUCAGCCAUGGGAUGUCCAAUAGCAAGAGGAGAAAACUCUGAGCUCCUGAGACAUAUGGUUGUUGCCCCAUCAUCAUACACAUCGCACUGUCUUGUAAUUUCUUUUUGACUCAUCUCUGUUCCCCAACAGCUCACGGCUCGUGUCUGUCCUGUUCUCAUGGUGUCCUUAGCACCUAGCUCGGUACCUGACACAUAGGAUAUUCACAGUAAAUAUUUUUGAACAAAUGACUGUAACAUAUUCUGAAGUUUGAGUCACAUGAAUCUUAUAUUAUCCAUUUUUGUUUUACCUCCACCCUCUUUCU
Molecule: long non-coding RNA, 952 nt
Organism: Camelus dromedarius (Arabian camel)
Lineage: Eukaryota; Metazoa; Chordata; Mammalia; Artiodactyla; Camelidae
Exons: 4
Source: RefSeq, a predicted model, not a curated record